Molecule: ribosomal RNA, 248 nt
Filed under: uncultured bacterium
Lineage: Bacteria
Description: partial 16S ribosomal RNA
Rfam family: Bacterial small subunit ribosomal RNA
Source: RNAcentral
AGGAUGGCGACCGGCGCACGGGUGAGUAACACGUAUCCAACCUGCCGAUAACUCGGGGAUAGCCUUUCGAAAGAAAGAUUAAUACCCGAUGGCAUAAUUAGACCGCAUGGUCUUAUUAUUAAAGAAUUUCGGUUAUCGAUGGGGAUGCGUUCCAUUAGGCAGUUGGUGAGGUAACGGCUCACCAAACCUUCGAUGGAUAGGGGUUCUGAGAGGAAGGUCCCCCACAUUGGAACUGAGACACGGUCCAA